RNAcentral lists this long non-coding RNA (2749 nucleotides) under Homo sapiens (human). Its description in RNAcentral is "HSALNT0376506". The record is from RNAcentral. Lineage: Eukaryota; Metazoa; Chordata; Mammalia; Primates; Hominidae.
CUGGGCGGGACUGGAACCGGCACUUGGCACCCCUUACGCCUUACGGUGGCCGCUGCGCCCAGUCACAUCUAUUGCAUUUCUCUGGAAUGACCACAGCAAUAUUUCCAGCCCUUGAUGAUCUUCUAGAACUUUGCCACUUCCCUGCAUCAAGAGAAAAUCUUGGAAGAAGAACACUUCUUUGAUGACGUUGUCAGAGAGAAAUGGAUGUUCUCCUAAAUGGGAAGCCUUAAUUCUGUGUGUAAUUUAUAAAGCCAUGGAGAAGAGGAGACAGAGUGUGCAAGGGAAUGAAGAAAAGGAACAAGACUAUUUUCAAAUCACCCAUGGCACUACUAGAAAUGUAUUUCAGCAAAAGGACUGGCUGAUUUUAUGAUUCCUGUGUCCACCACAGCCCUCUAAUUUUUACAUAGGUACCCCACAUCUCUCUAGAUUUCAGGAAGACUAUUAUCCUUCGACUUUAGCUUUCUGAUGGGUUCACAAAAAGCCAUUAGUGUGCUGUUGGUCCAGCUUUUUUCUGUUGCAAAUAUGAGAGCUACAGUUCUGAGAUGAAACCACAGGAUGUUCUUUCUCUAUGUAAGGAGAACAGUACCUUUUCUGACUACUCUGAAAUGAAUCAAGAACAAAUCUGUGUGGAAUUUUGGACCAUAAUCAGGAACAAGAAUCUCGGGAAUCCUUGGAAAUAAAUAUUUAUCAGUUUCUGCCUUAUGUGGUUGAUUGUAUGUCUGUCCUAUCUGAGUUCAUGCAUCUAACAGUCAUACUACUGUAACCAUCAUAUCUUCACAAAAAAAAAAAGUGUUCUGCUUUCUAUACUUGAGUACAAGAUCAUUUCCUCGGCCCUGUAUUCUCUGCAGUACCAGCACAGUGCCUUGGGUAUCAUGGUCACUCAAAUAUUUGAUCAAGUAAGUUUAUAGAUAAAUGCCUAUCUAAUAUAUUAAAUCAGAAGAUGGGGAUAAUGAAGUAUAGCUUGCUUUUAAAUAGAAUUUUUUAAUGUUAUUAUUAAGCCAACUAUUUUAUGUCUCAUUGCUUUUAGGAGCAAGGUAACAUAUUUCAUACUUUGGCAUUGGUUUCAGUAGCAGGGGGAACAAACUUACAGCUUGCUAUGAGUUGUUCUGUGGUCAGAACAAAAGUUGCUAAUGAUCAAGCACUUAUCUAGUAAGGCUAGUUUUUUUUCUCAAGAUAUUUCUCAAUACUGUAUUAUUGACAACUACUCCAAGUAAUUAGAAUAGGCAUAUAAUAUUGAACAUUUCAAUGGUUUACUACACUUAGGGAGAAUAUUAUAGAGAAGAUGUGAGUCCUGACUUACGAUUUUAAAAGCUCUUCUCUAUUCAAGGGGCAGAGUUCUUGUGGAAGGAAUGAGUCCAGUGUGGUCUGUGGUGUGCAUGAGAAAAUAAGCAGCAAAGGUCAUGGAGUAAGAAGUUCGAAGCCAUUAUUAAAGAAUGGCCGUGGGUAAAAUGAUUGGAUUCUGCCAUGGAACAUGGUAAGCUAGUGGGCCAGUAUUGUGUAGUAAUUUUAAGUGCAGAAUGCUUGAGUUUUAAUUCUGGGAUCCCCCUUCCUAGCUGUGUGACUUUGGGCAAGCUGUUUAUCUCUUUGUGCUACAAAUUGUUUAUCUGUAAAAUAGGAGUUUUAAAAGUUAUUAACUUGCUGGAUUUACAUGAUAAUUAAUUGAGGUAAUAUACGGAAAGUUCUUAGAACAGUGCUAAGUGUUAGUUACAUGAUUCCUGUUUAAAUAAUUCAUUACUAUUAAAAGGGAAGAGAAACUACCUUCAAAAAUAGUACUGUCUAGCCUUAAUAUAAUUAAUCUGUCUGACCCUAGCUACCACUAUAACCAAGGUAAAUUUUUUGCAAGUCAUAAGAAAACUAAUGAUUAUCUGAUACUCCAAAAAUUUGUUUCCUAAAAAAUCAAAGAUUUUGUCUUCAAAUUGGAGCUGUUUAACCAUCCGUUAAUGGAGACAACCACAUGGAAUUUAAAAAAUGUGAUAGGUAGAGCAAAUUAUCAUUGAGUUCUUAGUAGAACAUUUUCUCCACAUUUCUCUGUUGUAUACACCAUCAGGAGGAAUAAACAAUUUCACAAAGUUGCCAAAAUGUUAGCAUUUUUACUGAAAACGCCUAGUCAUAGUUUUGUUUUCUGCAAGUUAUUUUAAAAAUUGGUGACAUUAUUCAUAAGCAAAAAGAAUCAUUUUAUGUAGUAUGUGGCAUUCUAUACCUGAAACAAAAACAACAACAACAGUGGAACAAAUCUGCAAUGUAAAAAAUAGGUAAAAAUAAAUAUCUUAUUAGAAACAAAAUAGGCAGUGCUUUUAAGGCACAUGUUCAAAUAAUAAGCAAAAAAUAAAAAUGUUAUUUGAUUAAAGAGAUGUUUAGCUCUCAGGAAGGCAGUAGUGAUUCUAAAUCAAUGGGAUAAAUAUCAGCAAUAACAAAGGUGAUUAAUAAACUACUUUUUGUUAAAUAUAUAAUUGUUUAUUGGAGAAACUGGAAUUCUUAAUUUUAGCAUUAUUAAUUUCUUCGUGGAAAAUAGAGCCUCAUUUUAUCUCAACAUUUAAAUAGAGUCAUAUUUUUAAAGAUAUUUAUUGUUAUUAUUUUUUAUUUCAAUAGUUUUUGGGGAACAGGUGGUGUUUGCUUACAUGGAUAAGUUCUUUAGUGGUGAUUUCUGAGAUUUUGAUGUACCCAUGACCCUAGCAGAGUACACUGUACCCAAUAUGUAGUCUUUUAUCUCUCACUUGGCUUCCUUUCCACCCUUCCCCCCAAGUCCCCA